GACGAACGCUGGCGGCGUGCUUAACACAUGCGAGUCGAACGGUGAAGCGCCUUCCUUUUUGGUGGGUGUGGAUGAGUGGCGAACGGGUGAGUAACACGUGAGUAACCUGCCCCCUUCUUCUGGAUAACCGCAUGAAAGUGUGGCUAAUACGGGAUAUUCUGGGUCUGUCGCAUGAUGGGUCUGGGAAAGAUAUUGUUUCGGUGGGGGAUGGGCUCGCGGCCUAUCAGCUUGUUGGUGGGGUGAUGGCCUACCAAGGCGGUGACGGGUAGCCGGCCUGGGAGGGUGGACGGUCACACUGGGACUGAGACACGGCCCAGACUCCUACAGGAGGCAGCAGUGGGGAAUAGUGCACAAUGGGCGCAAGCCUGAUGCAGCGACGCCGCGUGAGGGAUGGAGGCCUUCGGGUUGUGAACCUCUUUCGCCAGUGAAGCAGGCCUGCCUCGUUUGUGGGUGGGUUGACGGUAGCUGGAUAAGAAGCGCCGGCUAACUACGUG
This 494-nucleotide ribosomal RNA is filed under the name uncultured bacterium. RNAcentral describes it as "partial 16S ribosomal RNA". It matches the Rfam family "Bacterial small subunit ribosomal RNA", at positions 28 to 507 of the family's 1533-position model. The record is from RNAcentral.